RNAcentral lists this ribosomal RNA (498 nucleotides) under Fusarium verticillioides. Its description in RNAcentral is "eukaryotic LSU rRNA". The stretch from base 143 to 296 matches the Rfam family "5.8S ribosomal RNA". Lineage: Eukaryota; Fungi; Ascomycota; Sordariomycetes; Hypocreales; Nectriaceae. The record is from RNAcentral.
AACAUAACUCCCAACCCCUGUGAACAUACCAAUUGUUGCCUCGGCGGAUCAGCCCGCUCCCGGUAAAACGGGACGGCCCGCCAGAGGACCCCUAAACUCUGUUUCUAUAUGUAACUUCUGAGUAAAACCAUAAAUAAAUCAAAACUUUCAACAACGGAUCUCUUGGUUCUGGCAUCGAUGAAGAACGCAGCAAAAUGCGAUAAGUAAUGUGAAUUGCAGAAUUCAGUGAAUCAUCGAAUCUUUGAACGCACAUUGCGCCCGCCAGUAUUCUGGCGGGCAUGCCUGUUCGAGCGUCAUUUCAACCCUCAAGCCCAGCUUGGUGUUGGGACUCGCGAGUCAAAUCGCGUUCCCCAAAUUGAUUGGCGGUCACGUCGAGCUUCCAUAGCGUAGUAGUAAAACCCUCGUUACUGGUAAUCGUCGCGGCCACGCCGUUAAACCCCAACUUCUGAAUGUUGACCUCGGAUCAGGUAGGAAUACCCGCUGAACUUAAGCAUUCAA